Molecule: ribosomal RNA, 468 nt
Filed under: uncultured bacterium
Lineage: Bacteria
Description: partial 16S ribosomal RNA
Rfam family: Bacterial small subunit ribosomal RNA
Source: RNAcentral
GACGAACGCUGGCGGCGUGCUUAACACAUGCAAGUCGAACGGAAAGGCCCUGCUUUUGUGGGGUGCUCGAGUGGCGAACGGGUGAGUAACACGUGAGUAACCUGCCCUUGACUUUGGGAUAACUUCAGGAAACUGGGGCUAAUACCGGAUAGGAGCUCCUGCUGCAUGGUGGGGGUUGGAAAGUUUCGGCGGUUGGGGAUGGACUCGCGGCUUAUCAGCUUGUUGGUGGGGUAGUGGCUUACCAAGGCUUUGACGGGUAGCCGGCCUGAGAGGGUGACCGGCCACAAUGGGACUGAGAUACGGCCCAGACUCCUACGGGAGGCAGCAGUGGGGAAUAUUGCACAAUGGGCGGAAGCCUGAUGCAGCAACGCCGCGUGCGGGAUGACGGCCUUCGGGUUGUAAACCGCUUUCGCCUGUGACGAAGCGUGAGUGACAGUAAUGGGUAAAAAAGCACCGGCUAACUACGUG